GGAGGUAGUGACAAUAAAUCACAAUGCGGGACUAUUCGUCUUGCAAUUGGAUUGAGAACAAUGUACAACUCUUAUCGAUAAGCCAUUGGAGGGCAAGUCUGGUGCCAGCAGCCGCGGUAAUUCCAGCUCCAAUAGCGUAUAUUAACGUUGUUGCAGUUAAAAAGCUCGUAGUUGAAGUGUGGGUGGUGCCUACUUCAUGACUUCGGUUGUGAGGCAGAUCACUACCCCCUUCCAGUAUCCAGUAGUGGGUAUUCAGUUACUUACUAUUGUGUGUUGGUCGUUUACUGUGAGAAAAUUAGAGUGUUCAAAGCAGGCGUUUGCUUGAAUAGAUUAGCAUGGAAUAAUAAUUGAAGGCUUUCGUGUUCGAUUUGAUUGGUUUGUUCAUGGAAGCAAGGUUAAAAGGAACAGUUGGGGGUAUUCAUAUUCACUAGUUAGAGGUGAAAUUCUCGGAUUUAUGGAAGAUGAACAAGUGCGAAAGCA
This 480-nucleotide ribosomal RNA is filed under the name Blastocystis sp. Its description in RNAcentral is "SSU rRNA". It matches the Rfam family "Eukaryotic small subunit ribosomal RNA", at positions 460 to 953 of the family's 1831-position model. Lineage: Eukaryota; Bigyra; Opalinata; Blastocystidae. The record is from RNAcentral.